UGCUAACCGCGUUAGGGAUUGCUAUGAAAAUCCUUUUGCUUUUUCUGCAAAAGAUUGAAAUGUAAAGCCCGACCUUUA
Molecule: small RNA, 78 nt
Filed under: Winogradskyella sp. PC-19
Lineage: Bacteria; Pseudomonadati; Bacteroidota; Flavobacteriia; Flavobacteriales; Flavobacteriaceae
Description: Flavo-1 RNA
Rfam family: Flavo-1 RNA
Source: Rfam by way of RNAcentral